Molecule: unclassified non-coding RNA, 4381 nt
Filed under: Hevea brasiliensis (rubber tree)
Lineage: Eukaryota; Viridiplantae; Streptophyta; Magnoliopsida; Malpighiales; Euphorbiaceae
Source: RNAcentral
CUUCAAUUCAAUUCAUAACUAUUUAUCAAUCACGGUCAAACCAUAAUCAGGUCUAAUCACUGCAAAACAGAUAAGGGGAUAAUUCAAAAAAACAUUGUGACUUGAAACUACUGAUCAUAACACUGUACAGUACAGGCAACAUAGUCACGAGAGUAUACCAAAUAAAACAUGUACUAAGAAAGUUGCACAAGGCCGAAAACAAUCAUCAAAAAAACUUAGCACAAGAUCAACAUAGCCGAGUUUCAAACUUCAAAUUUAUGCCCAUGCUGAAGAGCUCCUGGCACAAUAACUUGGCCCCAUAAGGUACAUUAACCCUGACUAUAUCAUCAACAGACUCACAAACUCGGCAGUAGGGACCCCUAAUCUUGCGGCCACCAGGCACUCCCCGUUGAAUCACAUUUGCCACAUUUUUGCAUUUCUGGCAAAUAUGCAUCUGUGAAGAAUCACUGAGAGUAAAAAGACGCUCAUGCAGGUUCGCAGAUGCACCAUGAGCUAUAAGGCAGUCCCGCUCCAUCUCACCAAACUUGAUACCACCAAAACGCUUUCGGUCUGCAACUGGCUGUCUAGUGAGUGGGUGCACAGGCCCAGUGUUACGAAAUUUUACUUUGUCUUCAGCCAUGUGGAUCAACCGCUGGUAGAAAGUUGGACCCAUAAAAAUGAGAGAACGAACCAUUUCACCAGUUCGACCGUUGUAAACUCUCUCAUUUCCCCAUCUUGGAAAUCCGGCUCUCUGGCAUGAAUAUCAAAAGAACAAAUUAUUCUGGGAAUCAUUUACAGAAAACAACAGGAGACAAUCUCCAAAAUGUUCAAAUAUGGAAAUUAUCUAUGAGGUAGUAAAUUCAGAAUGAACUAAACCAUGCAAUCUAAAAAUGAACUGUUGCAGGAUUAGUCUGGCAACCAAAUGACCCAGAAGAAGAUGGCAUUGACAUUUUUUGUUUCUACCUCUAAAGCAAUUCAGAUAAGACAAAAAUCUAAAAAUGAUUUAUUUAACAAAUUUCACAUGGUGCAUCAGUAGUGAAUAUUAUGACAUGAACCAAAGGAAAUGUCACCCAUGAAGCUGGUCUGUGAUUGCUUCAACAGACAGCGUGGAGAAAGGGGUGGCAUAUCUCAAUGAUCCACCACAGGCAAUUCCCUUUCCCAAAGCAGCCUCUAAGAGUUGACCAGGAGUUUGUCGUGAAGGAAAUGCAUGUGGGUUUUUAACAAUAUCAGGAACUAUUCCCUGUCUGGUGAAAGGGAAGUUCUCUUGAGUUGCCAAAAAGCCUAGAACACCCUUUUGUCCAUGCAUGCUAGAAAACUUGUCUCCAAGACAUGGAGAACGAACCUGCCUCAGAGACACCACAGCAAAAUUCUUCCCCUCAUCAUUAGAAGACAAUACAACUUUCUGGACCAUGCCCCUCUCAGUGUGCUUUAAUUUCAUACUAUGAUCAACCCCAGAUUCAGAACACCUCCCAAUAACAAUAUCACCACUUUGUAGAUUAGCUCCAAUGAAAGGAAAACCAUCAUCAUCAAGACUGUCAACACGUCCAAACUUACUCUGUAUCUUCCCAAAAUUCACAGGAUCAUCAAACUUUCGCCUCUUGUCUAAUAGUUCUUUAUUAUCAACAUCAGCCUUAUAACUUCUGAUAUGUUCAGAUCGAAACAUACCACGCUCUAAAGAAGAGCGAUUCAUUACCAAGGAGUCCUCUUGAUUGUAUCCUAGAUGAACAUUGACUGCCACAAUAGCAUUCUGACCAUUAUAUAACUCCGGUUUUGGCAGCAUUCCAUUAUGACCUCGUUGGUAUCCAGCUUUUCCAAGACAAUCAGAAGUCACAGUCCUAAAAAGUGGCCUCUGGGGAUAGUGCAAUUGAUGAGACAGGGUAUCCACUCUGAUGUUGGGAUUUGUUGUGGAAAAACCUAUAGCCUGCUGAGAAUGUUUUUGAGCCUGGUAUAGAACUCUUCUUGCAUGGUCAUGAUUGGCAAAGGGAAUGAUCCCACAACUUAAACCCAAUAAGAAGGACAUGUCAAGUUCACAGUGUGUGUACUUCAGAGAUUUCUUUCCAUCAGCUCCCGCUAGAAGAAAUUUAACUCCCCAGGCAGUGCUGCAAUCCUCUUCCUCUUCUGUUCCAACAAAUUCAACAAUCCCCUUGUCGAGAAGAGAAUGGAAGGUGUAAUUUCCCCCUUUAAAUGCUUUUAUCUUAGUUAAAUUCUUAACAACCAAAAGGGGACGUAAAAUCCUUCCAGCAUCAGAAUAUAUGCGCACUUCUCUUUGCUGUUCAUCUCUUUUGAUUUCCACCUGUUGAGGCAACCUCUUCCUCUGCCGUAAACGUCUAAGCUCAGAAACAAAUAAAUGAGAAUCUUCACAAACUCCAACCCAUUCCCCAUUCAGAAAUACUCUAAACUUCCUGUCCAGUUUAGUAUGGGUAUCAUCAACAAGUUUCUCCAUUCCACAAUCAAACAAUUUGUCAACUAGAGGUUCUGAUAUGUUUGUGCUAACAAGUCCAGUGGCAGCCAAAUUCUUUACAAGUCCACAGUUUUCACCAUCCGGAGUAGAAAGAAAGCAAACCCUACCCCAGUGAGAAGGGUGCGGGUAUCUAGCAUCUCCAACCUUCCCUGUGUACUGAACCUGCUGUCGUGUUUUCCGCAAAUCGACCAUUGUUUGUAAUGGAUUUGCACGCCCCAGAUUUGCCACUACACCAGAUAUCCUUUCCAUCCUCUUGAAUGGAUGUGACCAUGCCCCAGUUGAGAAUGCUCUCGAUAGACCAUUCGUGAUUAUAGAAGCAUCCAAAUAAUGUUCAAUUGGGCGCACAUCACGAUCUCCAUAGAGGUCUUUCUGCAAAGCCUUGGCCAUGCGCCUCCGUGCAUGUGCAAUGUGUACUUUUAACUCUCGCUCAAGCAACUCAGCAGCCAACUCAAAUCUCUUGUUUCUAAAACUAUCCCUGUUAUCACAUUUUCUUUGGCCACUAUAUGCCUGUAAAAGGCACUUUACCAUAUAACCUAGAAACCGGGCCUUUUGCCUAGGGCUAUGGAGACUGGGAAACAAAUACAAACUAACGAAAUCUUCAGUUUCCUCUGGUGGAAAUCUGGUUCCUUGUAUUUGCUUAAUAACAUAAUUCAGAGCAGUUCUCUCCCUACGAAACCACUCACAUUUCUCAUCAGCAUCAUGAAUUGAAGCGAAAAAUAUAUUCAUAAUGCUGGCAUUCUCUGUAUUAUAAUCAAUCAGAUCUACAACUUCUUUGUCUGACCUGAUUCCAAGGGCGAAAAACAAUAUCCAUAAAGGGAUCUCUGUUGACAUGAAAUAUACAAUAAGUCCUUUCUUUUCUCCUUUAAUGCUGUCAUCUUUAGAGAGCCCCACUAAUCUAACAAUUAAUCUAUUCCUUUUAAUUUCAGACUUAUAUGCAACUGUCCAGCCCUGAGCAUUUGAGAUCCAAAGUCUCUUUAAACAAAUUUGUUCUUGUGCAAUAAAAACCUUCUCUGCACCCUUGAUCAAAAAAUAACCUCCAUGAUCAAAAUCACAAUCACCUUUUUCAACUGUUUUCAUCCAGCAAAGGUCAGACUUCACCAUUACAGGCAUCCUUCCAAUUAUGAUAUCUCUGUUAUCAGUGCUUAGAACUACCUUGUCAACAAAUUGAUCUUUCCCAGUUUUAAACUUAUCACUUCUAACAACUUUCUGAGUGUACACCUCUACAGAAACAUUCACUUUCAUCCUGGAUGAAUACGUCAUAUUCUGAAGUCUCGCAUGCCUGGGGAGCAUAUUGUGUUCAAUACCAUCCGAACCAGCCCAAAAGCUUGGUUUAUCAAGGCUGACCUUCCCGAACCUAACUGAAGCAUAUCGCCAUUCAUUCUCUCCCUUCUUUGAUGGGUCAUAUCCAGGCUCAACGAUCAGCUCACCAAAAGAAUCAAAGGCCUUCUGAAGACCAUUGUGGAUGAAGUCAUUGUAGGAGUUAAUCUGGUGACUAAUAAGACCAUACUCAUUGAAGAACAAGGUCGCAGCCUUUUUACAGAAAUCUUUUAGAAAACCUUCACCCAAAUCGCGUAAGCUAGUGGUUAAGUCCAUAAAGUCAAUAUCAUCAUCACCAUCAUCAUCGUCGUCAAAAUCUAUCUCCAUAUCAAGUCCAUUUGGGAGCUUCUCACCCUUACUACUCGUGCCUAUGUCUUCUUCCAUGGCAUCCACUGACUCCCCCAUUUAAUUCAAAUAGUGACUAGAAUAGAAUGUAAUUCCCAAAGGAGAGGAACCCACGAACUCUUAUCGAAAAAAAAUUUGAGGUUUUAUAAGCGAAUUUGAGGGCUUAAAAACCCUUGUGUUAACAAUGCAUGUAGAGAUUCUAGGGUUUUGUUUUGAUUUUAUGCUCUUCUCUCAACACACAGGAAGUGUGAGCCACCGAGAAGAGGAGGAAAAUUGCAG